Molecule: non-coding RNA, 124 nt
Organism: Fomes fomentarius
Lineage: Eukaryota; Fungi; Basidiomycota; Agaricomycetes; Polyporales; Polyporaceae
Source: the annotation of a GenBank genome assembly
GGCACUAUAGUGUAGUGGUUUAUCACUUGGGAUUUUGAACGCUGAGCGUUUACUGGCUUCCCCUCGAGUCGGUGAGCGUUCGGCCGAUCUUCCCAUAACCCAGGUUCGAACCCUGGUAGUGCCU